This 1283-nucleotide long non-coding RNA is filed under the name Toxoplasma gondii VEG. Lineage: Eukaryota; Apicomplexa; Conoidasida; Eucoccidiorida; Sarcocystidae. The record is from RNAcentral.
CAAGAAGACCGAAUCAGCUGUACGGAUCUUGAUUGCAAUCUUUGCGCCACCAUUAUCACACGGUGAGUUUUGCUCUGCUUUAAAAAGUUAUAGGAGGCGGGAAAUCAAAAGACUUCUUUGCUUUUCAAGAGUCACUCCAAGACUGCAGAAAGCGAAAUGGAUGUUUGGCGUGUUCUUCAUAGACCUUCCCGUGUGAUUCCACCGAAUAAAGGAGAUAGUUAUUCCCGAAGCUUCAAAGAAACAUCGUGGUCAACAUUCUACUCAGACUCUCCAGCUUCUUUCAACGCAGGCGGUGUGUCGCGUAUUCCCCGAUCUGUUUGUCUCUCUGCCGCUGUCACAACAGAGAUCCGGUAUCUUCUCGGCGCUCGCCUGAUGAUUCAAGGAACUUGACAGGAAGCUGACAUUCUGUUUGGCCGCCGUCUACAACUGAAAAUGCCAGUAAGGUGGCCGGCUGCAUCAAAGGCUCUGCGUUUUCCGCUUCCGUGGCGGCUUUCUGUUCCCUUUGCUGUCCGCCUAGGGCUGGUAACGAGGCGUCGAGAAGGCUAGGGGGCGAAGGGGGUCCCUUCCUGUCUUCCUCCCUGAGCGGCACUUUGCCGAGGUUACUCGGCUGUGAGGGCCGUUCCCUGGAUCCACCGUUGUUGUUCAACGUGUACCCGUUUCCUGUUUCAUGCCUCGGAACCCCGUUGUCGUGUUUUUCGCGUGGAUCGCCUUUUUCAAAAACGACGCCACCUGGCUGUUCCUCAUCUUCCCGCCGAGUUCUCGAGAGUUGUGUGCCCGUGACUGGUGGAUGACCAAAGUUGUUCUUUGUGACAGCGCCGAAGAUCUCCUCAGACCCAUCGAUGGGUUGUAGAAAGAGGGGGCAUUGGACUGGCGCUGCGCUCCCAUCACAGGAAGCUGCGUAGGCGGUUACGAUAUCUGCAUUAUUCACAGCCGUCCCGCUCGUCUGACUCGUCUUGCCUAUCGUUUCAGGACCUGCUCCACUUGCAUCUAUUCUAUCCUGGUACGGAUUCGGAACAGCUUCAUCACUUUCGAAAAUCAGAACAUCCUGCUCGGUGGACGUUUGCUCUCUCGUGUGCAUUGGGUUAGCGGCAGCGCUGCCGUCAAAACGCUUCGAUACAGCCGUUUCCGGGAGGUUCUCGUUUUCGGUUUCAUCUGAAUGCCGAUAUCGACCAGUCUUAACGACAGGCAAUCCCGCAGUUUCUCCCUCCAGUUCAGUGGUGGAAAGUGCAUGCCCUGACACGCUGUUAGACCCCAGUUCUAUGUCCGUUGCACUAACAAAACCU